Molecule: long non-coding RNA, 967 nt
Filed under: Marmota monax (woodchuck)
Lineage: Eukaryota; Metazoa; Chordata; Mammalia; Rodentia; Sciuridae
Source: RNAcentral
GAACAUCCAGAUAACAUUCUUCUGGUCAGGCUUCUGGAUGGCAUCAAGCAGAGAGGCCUUGGAAACCUAGCUGGUGGGGACAGUGGGACCAACUGCACAAAUACAUUAAGUGUUCAGGGCAGCACUAUGGCUAAUUGUAGUGCAAAAGAUCUAGAGACAAAAUAGGAAUAUUUUGUUAGCAGACAAAGUAAGAAUAUUUCUGAUUUCCUACAUUGAGUUUAACUUGGCUGCUAAGCAGCUGACAGAAUGGGAUAAUCCUCCCAUUCCAGUAGUUGAUACUGAAACAUGUACCUCAGCAGCAGCCCAGAGCAGCACUGCCACAAAGCAAUCUGACACCAAGAACAAGACCAAAAAGUGGUACUCCUUCACUUCCUUCACCAUGACAAACAAGUCCUCUCACACAUUCCAGAACUGGCAGGCCAUGGAGAUCAGCCCUCCUGUCCUCAUCAGCUCCAGCAACCUUCAGCUGCCACAAGUAUCAGAGAACUGUCUGGGCUUUCCUUCAGUGUCCCUUCUCAGAUUCAUGUGAGUACCGUCACGUUCAUUGUGACCCCACACCCAAGCAGCCCUGUGACCACUGGACCCUCGUUCACUUUCCUGUUGGAUGUCCCCUCUCCAGGUGCCCAUGGAACUAUGAAUCCUCCCUUUCCAGCACCCCCUAUCCUGGCUGCCACUGUCCUCACCUCCAUCCUACCAGGUGCUAUGCUGCUUCUGCUGGAAUGGGACCCAGUCUCAUGGCAGAAUCCACUGCUCACAGGUUAGAAGAUUGAAUAUUAUGAAGAUGUUAGUUCUCCCCAAUUUAUCUACAGAUUUGAUACCACCUCAUUACCAAUUCUAGCAGUCAAUUUUGUGGAAAUGUGCAUAUUAAUUCCAAAUGUAUAUAUUAAUUAACAUGUAUUAAUUCCCAAAUUUUAGCAGGUAUAUAUCAUCUCAGAACUGGGAUCAUAAUAUGGUAAAAGUAAUUAGG